GGGGAAUAUUGGACAAUGGGGGGAACCCUGAUCCAGCCAUGCCGCGUGUGUGAAGAAGGUCUUCGGAUUGUAAAGCACUUUAAGUUGGGAGGAAGGGCUUUAGGUUAAUACCCUGAAGUUUUGACGUUACCAACAGAAUAAGCACCGGCUAACUUCGUGCCAGCAGCCGCGGUAAUACGAAGGGUGCAAGCGUUAAUCGGAAUUACUGGGCGUAAAGCGCGCGUAGGUGGUUUGUUAAGUUGGAAGUGAAAGCCCCGGGCUCAACCUGGGAAUUGCUUUCAAAACUGGCGAGCUAGAGUACGGUAGAGGGUAGUGGAAUUUCCUGUGUAGCGGUGAAAUGCGUAGAUAUAGGAAGGAACAUCAGUGGCGAAGGCGACUACCUGGACUGAUACUGACACUGAGGUGCGAAAGCGUGGGGAGCAAAC
This 425-nucleotide ribosomal RNA is filed under the name uncultured bacterium. RNAcentral's name for it is "bacterial SSU rRNA". It matches the Rfam family "Bacterial small subunit ribosomal RNA", at positions 356 to 773 of the family's 1533-position model. The record is from RNAcentral.